This 253-nucleotide ribosomal RNA is filed under the name uncultured bacterium. RNAcentral describes it as "partial 16S ribosomal RNA". It matches the Rfam family "Bacterial small subunit ribosomal RNA", at positions 524 to 776 of the family's 1533-position model. The record is from RNAcentral.
UACGUAGGGUGCGAGCGUUGUCCGGAAUUAUUGGGCGUAAAGGGCUCGUAGGCGGUUUGUCGCGUCGGGAGUGAAAACCCAGGGCUUAACUCUGGGCUUGCUUUCGAUACGGGCAGACUAGAGGCAUGCAGGGGAGAACGGAAUUCCUGGUGUAGCGGUGAAAUGCGCAGAUAUCAGGAGGAACACCGGUGGCGAAGGCGGGUCUCUGGGCCGUAACUGACGCUGAGGAGCGAAAGCGUGGGGAGCGAACAGG